Gymnodraco acuticeps is the source of this 572-nucleotide long non-coding RNA. RefSeq lists it as uncharacterized. The transcript is spliced from 3 exons. The record is from RefSeq and is a predicted model, not a curated record. NCBI's taxonomy places the organism in Eukaryota, Metazoa, Chordata, Actinopteri, Perciformes, Bathydraconidae.
AGUUUUACCAAAAUAACUUGAUUUAAUUGUAUUUAAAAUGACAUUUCCAAAUAAAUAAAUUCGAAUCGGCCUGUUCAGUUUCUGUUGGAAUGUGAAGGGUUAAAUGCCGUCUCUGCGAGUUAUGUGAAGACGGGAGAGCUUGUUGGUCCCUCUCUACAUUCACAGAGGGCCAGCUAUGGGCUAGUUGCACAAGAUGGCGUCUAUCAACUUCUGGCGGCUGGUUGUGCGGUUGUAAACUUCCGGUCUACAGUAGAGCGGUAGAGGGAAGAGCGAUAGAUAGCGUAUAGAUAGCGAGAGAGAUAGCGUAUAGAUAUUAUAUAGGCACUAUUUUACACUCGAUGUCUCCAAGACCUACCGAAGGUUAACAUCAGUGAUGUACAUCGGCUGGUACAAGCGACAGGCUCAGCCCCGAGGAGCAAAAGAGAAAAGGGGUUCAAGAUGUAGCUACAUAUCCAGCUACGUCGACAAUUAUGAAGGGUGUGAAACCAGGCAGAGUGAGUGACAUGGUGUUCACUUCCACUAAGCCAAAGCAGUUUACAGUUGCUGACGGUGUAAGGAGUACACGUUACAAG